GUGGGGAAUAUUGCGCAAUGGGGGAAACCCUGACGCAGCAACGCCGCGUGAUUGAAGAAGGCCUUCGGGUUGUAAAGAUCUUUAAUUGGGGACGAAAUAAAUGACGGUACCCAAAGAAUAAGCUCCGGCUAACUACGUGCCAGCAGCCGCGGUAAUACGUAGGGAGCAAGCGUUAUCCGGAUUUACUGGGUGUAAAGGGCGAGUAGGCGGGCCGACAAGUUGGGAGUGAAAUCCGGGGGCUUAACCCCGGAACUGCUUUCAAAACGGUUGGUCUUGAGUGAUAGGGAGGCAGGCGGAAUUCCCAGUGUAGCGGUGAAAUGCGUAGAUAUUGUGAGGAACACCAGUGGCGAAGGCGGCCUGCUGGACAUUAACUGACGCUGAGGCGCGAAAGCGUGGGGAGCAAACAGGAUUAGAAACCCCUGUAGUCC
This 428-nucleotide ribosomal RNA is filed under the name uncultured bacterium. Its description in RNAcentral is "partial 16S ribosomal RNA". It matches the Rfam family "Bacterial small subunit ribosomal RNA", at positions 354 to 796 of the family's 1533-position model. The record is from RNAcentral.